UUUGUAUGUCCAGUUAACAGCUCGCAGCGGAGGGAAAGUGUACAUAGACACAUGCCACAGUCCUGGCUAGGCUACUAAAAUGUUGCAGUCUGGCUUCGGUUUUUAAACUUGACAAUGAAUCAAAACAGAAAAAACGAGACAUGAAUGGGAGGGGGACAGAACCCCUCUAAUGAAAGUCAAGAAGGACCAAUGUUUGGCGGGCUCAUUUGCAGAAUCCAAAGUGUCAGCAUUGUGUAUCCUACUUUUGUGUCAAAUAGUUAUGAAGAAAUUGUGGUCAGUUAACAAAUACUAUGUCUUGUUUGAUUUUUUGGGCCCGGUUCUAGCCAAGGCCAAUGUAAAUAUGCAUGUAUUUUUUGCUAAUAAAGUCUUACAAUUGGUAACAUUUUUAGCUGAAUGCGCAUGCAUUUAGAUGUUAUUGCGUGUUGUAUAUUUUCAGUCACACUGUUGCAUGAAAGGAGAUCCAUGAAGUUAACAUCGACAGCAUCUCUAAGCCUGAGUUCCUGUCGAGUAAACCUAAGGAGGGCUCACCUAGGGAACUCGGCACUCACAAUUCCAUUUUAGUUCAGGAACUGAAUGGCCAUUCUUAUGGGGAAAUCAAAUGUCUCAUUCAACUGAAUUGAGAUUAAAUUAAUCUGUAACUCUUGACUUGCUCUGGCUAUUCCCAGUACUGAAUGGGGCAGUGCAUUUCCUCAAAAUCAAGGUGGUCCCUGACAGUUGGAAGAUGGACAUGAACGAGAUAUUAGAAUCGUCCAGCAGCGACGAGGAGGACACGGAAGGAAAGUGAGUGAAGAGGAGAAGGAGGUGCUAAGGGUGGUCACACCAUUGUGGUGUCCUACCUCCUCAACUAACCCAACAACAUCCUGUCGGUCCCCGCGCAGGACCUAUCCCCUCCCAUGACACCUCUCAGGUAGGGACCGCUAGUUACUAACAGACAAAUAACUACUGUACUUCUACAAACAUGUUUGUUUAUUUGUCUGGAUGGAGUUGUAUUGACACCAAGUUGAUACCAAAUAUUGAUACCAACUAUACUUUUGUAAUAUCUCCUUACAUCUUAUGAGUUCCAAGCUCUGGCCAUUGUGGAGCCAGACAGAGUCUCUUCUAACAUUACAACACCUGCACCCGUCAUCACAAAAGGUGGCUCCAAGCAGAGGCAGUGCCCCCUACAGGAUAACCCUGUCAUUGCAGACAGUCCCUUCCACCCGUACCAGCCCUUGGAGUCCAUUGUGAAAGAGACAGAGUGCAAGCUGAUCUCCAGCCAUAGAGAAGUCCCAGCUGCAGAAUAAGAUGAUCCUCAAGGAGCAGUAAACUAAAGAGUAAAUGAAGGCCGAAGGCCUGAACGAUGACCCGGGCAGCCCCUUCGCACUUUGGCCUCCCAGCAGUCCAGACUUUAGUACAGCAGACUACCCCGACACCUCCAGCCCUGACCUGCUGAUGCUGAUGGUGAGUCAGCAGUAGAUGUUGGGGCAGCAGUUGACAGGCCUGGGACCGGCCUUCUCACCCAGGCCCCCGACGGACUACUAGUGGCCUUCCCCCUACAGAUCGUCACAGAUACGCCGGUUGACAUCAUGGCAGAUACAGUGCCUUCCAAAAGUAUUCACACCCUUUUCAGCACAUUUUGUUGUGUUACAAAGUGGGAUACAAAUUGAUUUAAUUGUACUUUUUUGUCAACGACUCUAACACUUGUAGAAUUCUAACACUUGUAAAAAAAUAUAUACAUUUUUAAAAGGAAAAUAAAACACUUGAUUAGAUAAGUAUUCAACCCCCUGAGUUAAUACACCCUUUGCAGCGUUUACAUCAGUGAGUCUUUCUGGGUAAGUCUCGCUAAGAGCUUUCUGUACCUGAAUUGUACAAUAUUUGCCCAUUAUUCUUUUUUAAAUUCUUCAAGUUGGCUGUUGAUCAUUGCUAGAUAGCCAUUUUCAAGCCUUGCCAUAGAUUUUCAAGCCGAUUUCUAGGCAAAACCACUCAGGAACAUUCAAUGUCGUUUUGGUAAGCAACUCCAGUGUAUAUUUGGCCUUGUUUUUUAGGAUUUUGUCCUGCUGAAAGGUGUCUGUUGGAAAGCAAACUGAACCAAGUUUUCCACUAAGAUGUUGCCUAUGCUUAGCUCUAUUCUGUUUAUUCUUAUCCGAUGACAAUACCCAAAAAAUGAUACAGCCACCACCAUGCUUAAAAAUAUGAAGAAUGGUACUUAGUGAUGUGUUGUGUUGGAUUUUCCCCAAUCAUAACGCUUUGUAUUCAGGACACAUGUUUUGCAGUAUUACUUUAGUGCCUUGUUGCAAACAGGAUGCAUGUUUGGGAAUAUUUGUAUCAUGUACAGGCUUCCUUCUUUUCACUCUGUCAUUUAAGUUAGUAUUGUGGAGUAACUACAAUGUUGUUGAUCCAUCCUCAGUUUUAUCCUAUCACACAGCCAUUAAACUUUGCAACUGUUUUAUAAUCACCA
This is a long non-coding RNA of Oncorhynchus nerka (sockeye salmon), 2437 nucleotides long. RefSeq lists it as uncharacterized. NCBI's taxonomy places the organism in Eukaryota, Metazoa, Chordata, Actinopteri, Salmoniformes, Salmonidae. The record is from RefSeq and is a predicted model, not a curated record. The transcript is spliced from 3 exons.